GUGAAAAGCACCCCGGAAGGGGAGUGAAAUAGAUCCUGAAACCGUGUGCCUACAAGUAGUCAGAGCCCGUUAAAGGGUGAUGGCGUGCCUUUUGUAGAAUGAACCGGCGAGUUACGAUCCCGUGCAAGGUUAAGCAGAAGAUGCGGAGCCGCAGCGAAAGCGAGUCUGAAUAGGGCGCAUGAGUACGUGGUCGUAGACCCGAAACCAGGUGAUCUACCCAUGUCCAGGGUGAAGUUCAGGUAACACUGAAUGGAGGCCCGAACCCACGCACGUUGAAAAGUGCGGGGAUGAGGUGUGGGUAGGGGUGAAAUGCCAAUCGAACCUGGAGAUAGCUGGUUCUCUCCGAAAUAGCUUUAGGGCUAGCCUCAAGGUAAGAGUCUCGGAGGUAGAGCACUGAUUGGACUAGGGGCCCCUACCGGGUUACCGAAUUCAGUCAAACUCCGAAUGCCGAUGACUUAUCCUUGGGAGUCAGACUGCGAGUGAUAAGAUCCGUAGUCGAAAGGGAAACAGCCCAGACCGCCAGCUAAGGUCCCAAAGUAUACGUUAAGUGGAAAAGGAUGUGGAGUUGCUUAGACAACCAGGAUGUUGGCUUAGAAGCAGCCACCAUUUAAAGAGUGCGUAAUAGCUCACUGGUCGAGUGACUCUGCGCCGAAAAUGUACCGGGGCUAAACGUAUCACCGAAGCUGCGGACUGUUCUAACGAACAGUGGUAGGAGAGCGUUCUAAGUGCUGUGAAGUCAGACCGGAAGGACUGGUGGAGCGCUUAGAAGUGAGAAUGCCGGUAUGAGUAGCGAAAGACGGGUGAGAAUCCCGUCCACCGAAUGCCUAAGGUUUCCUGAGGAAGGCUCGUCCGCUCAGGGUUAGUCGGGACCUAAGCCGAGGCCGAAAGGCGUAGGCGAUGGACAACAGGUUGAUAUUCCUGUACCACCUCCUCACCAUUUGAGCAAUGGGGGGACGCAGGAGGAUAGGGUAAGCGCGGUAUUGGAUAUCCGCGUCCAAGCAGUUAGGCUGGGAAAUAGGCAAAUCCGUUUCCCGUGAAGGCUGAGCUGUGAUGGCGAGCGAAAUUUAGUAGCGAAGUUCCUGAUUCCACACUGCCAAGAAAAGCCUCUAGCGAGGUGAGAGGUGCCCGUACCGCAAACCGACACAGGUAGGCGAGGAGAGAAUCCUAAGGUGAUCGAGAGAACUCUCGUUAAGGAACUCGGCAAAAUGACCCCGUAACUUCGGGAGAAGGGGUGCUUCUUAGGGUGUUAAAGCCCCGAGAAGCCGCAGUGAAUAGGCCCAGGCGACUGUUUAGCAAAAACACAGGUCUCUGCGAAGCCGUAAGGCGAAGUAUAGGGGCUGACGCCUGCCCGGUGCUGGAAGGUUAAGAGGAGCGCUUAGCGUAAGCGAAGGUGCGAAUUGAAGCC
This 1405-nucleotide ribosomal RNA is filed under the name Bacillus pumilus. RNAcentral describes it as "partial 23S ribosomal RNA". It matches the Rfam family "Bacterial large subunit ribosomal RNA", at positions 514 to 1919 of the family's 2925-position model. Lineage: Bacteria; Bacillati; Bacillota; Bacilli; Caryophanales; Bacillaceae. The record is from RNAcentral.